GCCGUUAUAGCUCAGUAGGCCAGAGCGUUCGCCUUGUAAGCGAAGGGUCCGGGGUUCGAAUCCUCGUGGCGGCACCA
RNAcentral lists this transfer RNA (77 nucleotides) under compost metagenome. RNAcentral describes it as "tRNA-Thr". It matches the Rfam family "tRNA". Rfam says of the family: Transfer RNA (tRNA) molecules are approximately 80 nucleotides in length. The record is from RNAcentral.